GUGUAUGGCAAUUCUGCUAUGAGCGCACCUAAUUUCAUCUGAUCGUGGAAGUUGAGUAGAGUGAGGCCUGUUAGUAUUUGGAUGGGAGAUACCACGUGCUUGUAGGAU
Ribosomal RNA from Haplochromis burtoni (Burton's mouthbrooder), 108 nucleotides. NCBI's taxonomy places the organism in Eukaryota, Metazoa, Chordata, Actinopteri, Cichliformes, Cichlidae. The record is from Ensembl.